Molecule: long non-coding RNA, 107 nt
Organism: Amphimedon queenslandica
Lineage: Eukaryota; Metazoa; Porifera; Demospongiae; Haplosclerida; Niphatidae
Exons: 3
Source: RefSeq, a predicted model, not a curated record
CAAGCGGAUGACAAUACAAUUCUAAUUGAAGAUGUCACUCAUGUAUCUACACCCAUAUCUUUGUCUCAAGUGACCCAUAGCAAUACUGAAUUGAUUCCGAUGCAUGA